RNAcentral lists this ribosomal RNA (456 nucleotides) under uncultured soil bacterium. RNAcentral describes it as "bacterial SSU rRNA". It matches the Rfam family "Bacterial small subunit ribosomal RNA", at positions 26 to 529 of the family's 1533-position model. The record is from RNAcentral.
AGAGCGAACGCUGGCGGCAGGCUUAACACAUGCAAGUCGAGCGGGUGUAGCAAUACGUCAGCGGCAGACGGGUGAGUAACGCGUGGGAACAUACCUUUUGGUUCGGAACAACACAGGGAAACUUGUGCUAAUACCGGAUAAGCCCUUACGGGGGAAAGAUUUAUCGCCGAAAGAUUGGCCCGCGUCUGAUUAGCUAGUUGGUGAGGUAACGGCUCACCAAGGCGACGAUCAGUAGCUGGUCUGAGAGGAUGAUCAGCCACAUUGGGACUGAGACACGGCCCAAACUCCUACGGGAGGCAGCAGUGGGGAAUAUUGGACAAGUGGCGCAAGCCUGAUCCGAGCCAUGCCGCGUGAGUGAUGAAGCCUAGGUUGUAAAGCUUCGUUUGUGCGGAAGAUAAUGACGGUACCGACAAAGAAUAACGCCCCGCUAACGUUCGUACGCCAAGCCAAGCCGAC